CCUACGGGGUGCAGCAGUGGGGAAUAUUGCACAAUGGGGGAAACCCUGAUGCAGCCAUGCCGCGUGUGUGAAGAAGGCCUUCGGGUUGUAAAGCACUUUCAGCGGGGAGGAAGGGAGUAAAGUUAAUACCUUUGCUCAUUGACGUUACCCGCAGAAGAAGCACCGGCUAACUCCGUGCCAGCAGCCGCGGUAAUACGGAGGGUGCAAGCGUUAAUCGGAAUUACUGGGCGUAAAGCGCACGCAGGCGGUUUGUUAAGUCAGAUGUGAAAUCCCCGGGCUCAACCUGGGAACUGCAUCUGAUACUGGCAAGCUUGAGUCUCGUAGAGGGGGGUAGAAUUCCAGGUGUAGCGGUGAAAUGCGUAGAGAUCUGGAGGAAUACCGGUGGCGAAGGCGGCCCCCUGGACGAAGACUGACGCUGAGGCGCGAAAGCGUGGGGAGCAAACAGGAUUAGAUACCCUCGUAGUC
RNAcentral lists this ribosomal RNA (465 nucleotides) under uncultured bacterium. RNAcentral describes it as "bacterial SSU rRNA". It matches the Rfam family "Bacterial small subunit ribosomal RNA", at positions 338 to 795 of the family's 1533-position model. The record is from RNAcentral.